CAUAGAAUGCAGUCGAACGGAAGUCGUUAUAAAAAGGAUUGAAGAUUUAUCUGAUUGAGAUUUUAUAACAAUGGCUUUAGUGGCGGACUGGUGAGUAACGCGUGAGCAACCUGCCUACUAGAGGGGAAUAACAGUGAGAAAUCACUGCUAAUACCGCAUAUGCCAUGAACAUCACAUGAUGAAAAUGGGAAAAGAGUAAUCUGCUAGUAGAUGGGCUCGCGUCUGAUUAGAUAGUUGGUGGGGCAACGGCCUACCAAGUCGACGAUCAGUAGCCGGACUGAGAGGUUGAACGGCCACAUUGGGACUGAGAUACGGCCCAGACUCCUACGGAAGGCAGCAGUCGGGAAUAUUGCGCAAUGGAGGAAACUCUGACGCAGUGACGCCGCGUAUAGGAAGAAGGUUUUCGGAUUGUAAACUAUUGUCGUUAGGGAAGAUAAAAGACAGUACCUAAGGAGGAAGCUCCGGCUAACUACGUGCCAGCAGCCGCGGUAAUACGUAGGGAGCAAGCGUUAUCCGGAUUUAUUGGGUGUAAAGGGUGCGUAGACGGGUUAGCAAGUUAGUUGUGAAAGCCCUCGGCUUAACUGAGGAACUGCAACUAAAACUGUUAAUCUUGAGUGUUGGAGAGGAAAGUGGAAUUCCUAGUGUAGCGGUGAAAUGCGUAGAUAUUAGGAGGAACACCGGUGGCGAAGGCGACUUUCUGGACAAUAACUGACGUUGAGGCACGAAAGUGUGGGGAGCAAACAGGAUUAGAUACCCUGGUAGUCCACACCGUAAACGAUGGAUACUAGGUGUAGGGAAUUAUUUAAUUUUCUGUGCCGUCGCAAACGCAAUAAGUAU
Molecule: ribosomal RNA, 837 nt
Filed under: uncultured bacterium
Lineage: Bacteria
Description: bacterial SSU rRNA
Rfam family: Bacterial small subunit ribosomal RNA
Source: RNAcentral